GCAAGUCGAACGAACCUUCGGGUUAGUGGCGGCCGGGUGAGUAACGCGUGAGAAUCUGCCCUCAGGAGGGGGAUAACGGCUGGAAACGGCCGCUAAUGCCCCAUAUGCCGAGAUGUGAUAUGAAUUUCGCCUGAGGAUGAGCUCGCGUCUGAUUAGCUAGUUGGUGUGGUAAAGGCUCACCAAGGCAUCGAUCAGUAGCUGGUCUGAGAGGAGGAUC
Molecule: ribosomal RNA, 217 nt
Filed under: uncultured bacterium
Lineage: Bacteria
Description: partial 16S ribosomal RNA
Rfam family: Bacterial small subunit ribosomal RNA
Source: RNAcentral